Molecule: ribosomal RNA, 603 nt
Filed under: Pterulicium brunneosetosum
Lineage: Eukaryota; Fungi; Basidiomycota; Agaricomycetes; Agaricales; Pterulaceae
Description: Pterula brunneosetosa partial large subunit ribosomal RNA
Rfam family: Eukaryotic large subunit ribosomal RNA
Source: RNAcentral
GGAUUCCCCUAGUAACUGCGAGUGAAGCGGGAAAAGCUCAAAUUUAAAAUCUGGCAGUCUUUGAUUGUCCGAGUUGUAAUUUAGAGAAGCGUUAUCCGUGUUGGACCGUGUACAAGUCUCCUGGAACGGAGCGUCAUAGAGGGUGAGAAUCCCGUCCAUGGCACGGACUACCAAUGCAUUGUGAUGCGCUCUCGAAGAGUCGUGUUGUUUGGGAAUGCAGCACAAAAUGGGUGGUAAAUUCCAUCUAAAGCUAAAUAUAGGCGAGAGACCGAUAGCGAACAAGUACCGUGAGGGAAAGAUGAAAAGAACUUUGGAAAGAGAGUUAAACAGUACGUGAAAUUGUUGAAAGGGAAACGCUUGAAGUCAGUCGCGUCGUUCAGGGAUCAGCCUUGCUCUGCUUGGUGUACUUCCUGUUCGACGGGUCAGCAUCAGUUUCGACCGCUGGAAAAAGUGCGCAGGAAUGUGAUCUCCUCGGAGGUGUUAUAGCCUGUGUUCGUAUACAGCGGUUGGGACUGAGGAAUCAGCACUCGAUGCUUGGGAUGCUGGCAUAAUGGCUUUAAGCGACCCGUCUUGAAACACGGACCAAGGAGUCUAACAUGCCCG